Molecule: small nucleolar RNA, 93 nt
Organism: Solanum dulcamara
Lineage: Eukaryota; Viridiplantae; Streptophyta; Magnoliopsida; Solanales; Solanaceae
Product: small nucleolar RNA snoR109
Exons: 1
Source: RefSeq, a predicted model, not a curated record
UAGCUGUAGCUAUAUAUGAAAUAUGCUGUGAAGUUUAAGUGGCGGGUUGUUGUUAAUCUGUUCACAUAUCUGUUUAACUAACUUCUUACAUUA